This 421-nucleotide ribosomal RNA is filed under the name uncultured bacterium. Its description in RNAcentral is "bacterial SSU rRNA". It matches the Rfam family "Bacterial small subunit ribosomal RNA", at positions 355 to 774 of the family's 1533-position model. The record is from RNAcentral.
UAAGGAAUAUUGGUCAAUGGACGCAAGUCUGAACCAGCCAUGCCGCGUGAAGGAUGAAGGUCCUCUGGAUUGUAAACUUCUUUUAUCUGGGACGAAAACGGGAUUUUUAUCUCAAUUGACGGUACCAGAGGAAUAAGCACCGGCUAACUCCGUGCCAGCAGCCGCGGUAAUACGGAGGGUGCGAGCGUUAUCCGGAUUUACAGGGUUUAAAGGGUGCGUAGGUGGGCUUAUAAGUCAGUGGUGAAAUCUCCGAGCUUAACUUGGAAACUGCCGUUGAUACUAUAGGUCUUGAAUUAUCUGGAGGUAUGCGGAAUAUGUCAUGUAGCGGUGAAAUGCUUAGAUAUGACAUAGAACACCAAUUGCGAAGGCAGCUUACUACAUAUAAAUUGACGCUGAGGCACGAAAGCGUGGGGAUCAAACA